GCACAACGCGAAGAACCUUACCUGGUCUUGACAUAGUAAGAACUUUCCAGAGAUGGAUUGGUGCCUUCGGGAACUUACAUACAGGUGCUGCAUGGCUGUCGUUAGCUCGUGUCGUGAGAUGUUGGGUUAAGUCCCGCAACGAGCGCAACCCUUUUCCUUAUUUGCCAGCGGGUUAAGCCGGGAACUUUAAGGAUACUGCCAGUGACAAACUGGAGGAAGGCGGGGACGACGUCAAGUCAUCAUGGCCCUUACGACCAGGGCUACACACGUGCUACAAUGGUCGGUACAAAGGGUUGCUACCUAGCGAUAGGAUGCUAAUCUCAAAAAGCCGAUCGUAGUCCGGAUUGGAGUCUGCAACUCGACUCCAUGAAGUCGGAAUCGCUAGUAAUCGCGGAUCAGAAUGCCGCGGUGAAUACGUUCCCGGGUCUUGUACACACCG
RNAcentral lists this ribosomal RNA (439 nucleotides) under uncultured bacterium. Its description in RNAcentral is "bacterial SSU rRNA". It matches the Rfam family "Bacterial small subunit ribosomal RNA", at positions 954 to 1392 of the family's 1533-position model. The record is from RNAcentral.